AGCAGAUCUUGGGUUGAACUAAUGAGGGAGGGCUGAGAAAUUGGAACAAGCUUGGUUAGAGGAAUAUGUGAGGUUCAGUGCCAUCAACUGUUGGACUGCAGACAUGUCUGUCUCUAAGCAUUGAAUAAAUACUGGAAUUCCAAAGUAAAUGCAGACCUAAGAUAAGAAUAGCAUUCCAGCCUAAUCCUCAGACACCAGUGGUGAAGGGAACACUGCAAACCACACCAAAUAAUUGGAGUGGGCAAGAUCUCUGCUAAUAAUCGCAUAUUAGUGUUCCAUUUCUGCUAGAUAUGUUUCUUUCCCACAUCACAGACUGUCUCAGCCUCCUGCCUUGGGAGGGCUGAACAGAAGCUGAAUCAACUCUAUGGGGCUUUCAUAGUUCAUGAAAGUCCCCAGGCUCCUCAGUGCAUCUUGGCCAUGUUUUGACUUUGUGUUAGGAGACAACGUCUUGUCCAGCUGAGUUUCUAAGGAAGGUGUGGGUAUGCAGGUAUGGGAGGAGAUAAAGUACACUGUGGGUCAUUGUCCAGUGGGGUGUAGUAAGGGGCAAACCUAGGAUGUACCUUAAAAAACACUUUGGACACGGCUUGGACUUGCUUGUCUUGUAACAUAGACACAGCCAAGAGUGAUAGGAGUAGGAAAAAAGCUUUUUUGUGGGAAGAUGUUGGAGAUAGGAAGACUGAUUAGGAUGAAGAAGUAAGAGGAGGAUUUUGGGAACCAGGAAAGCACACGGUCAAUGGUAAAUUAUGUUUAGACAACACAAGGCUGGUUCACUCAGCAGGAUGCAACUCAGAGACCCUGCCAAAGUUCUCUCAUGCAUCCGUGGAGAAAUCAUUUCAGUGUGUGUCAGAUCAGUGGAAUAGGGGCUGCUUCCUUCGGCAACGAAGUCCUGACAGCAGUCGUGGAAAGCAAUGGAUCACUCGAUGUAAUUGAAAGAUGGUAGAACUAAAUCAGAUGAAAUGUAGACAUCGGAGGGCGGUGUUUCAGCAUAUACCUGAGCUAAGGAGGAAACACCCACUGCAAAAUACUCAGAAUGACCCAAUGUAAAGCAAAAGCCAGGGAGAGGUUCUUGCAGAAGCAUCCCAUGUUAUUCUGCUGAAGAUGCUCAGAUUCUUCUGGAGGCCUCUACUCCCUGUCCUGGAUCAUGAACAAAAUGAGUUGACUACUCCAGGACAUUCUACUUCAUCUAAUCAGUGGGCAAACACCCUUCCCAGCUCUGUCUGAGCAUGGCAGGGAGACUCCUCUGUGCACAUAAAAAGCUUUAUGCAACAGAACUGCAUGUUAUCACGUUAAGAAGGGAGUAUUUCUGAGUAUCUUGGCUCUUCCAUAUUUAGGGAAAAGAUAAAUCAGCAUCCUGAGUUGCCAUGGCAAAUAAUAUAGCAGCACCCCUGCGUAAUGCCUCUCUGCAAAUACUUUAAUAUUGAAUGACUGUAAUUUUGCUUUGGAGACUGGAAAAUAGAUUCUGAGACCAACUGAACAGCUGCUGAUGAAAGUCAUUUUGCAGAGGUCUCUUAAGCAUCUCAGCCAGUAAAGUACAAACCAGAAAAGUAAGAAAUGUUACAGCUUGAUUCAGGAUAUGCUAUCAGUGCAUUUACUGGGGAUGUGGGUUUGCUAGUGAUUGAUGGCAGGAAUGACUUCAGUAUAAAUCUCUGUUAUUUAUUAAGUAUUGACAGUGGGAUAAGAGCAGCACAUGGCAGAGUAGUUUCAGCUCUCAGUGCAGGGAUUUCAGUAGCUCUUAGGAGAAGUGCUGCUUCAGGGGAAGUGUUGAAUGUGGUGAACAGCUUUGGAAAACUAACCCCUCUUCCUUUCUCUGAUGCCAUCUCUCUGACUUCUCCAUCUCUCUCUCCCAGUACUCUGAACAGAAGCUCUGUGUUGACAGGAGAGCAUAAAAUGCCUCUCUGUGGCAACUUCAAAGCUCCAUAAAUUAGCCCUUAGUGUGAUUUCCUUCGGAUAGAAUCAGUUGAUACCACCAAAGCUGAAAGACACAAAGAUGGGACCACCUCCCCAAGGCUAUAAGAUAGUAGGAUUCAUCUUGGUUUGCAGGUAUUACCUCCAUUCCAAUCUGAAAGUAUAAAAUGAUGAGGGAGCUGUAGAAAGGCAGGGGGAAAAGGAGCAUCUCUCCUCCCAGAACCAGGAUUCAUAGAAUCAUGGAAUCAUUAAGGGCGCAAAAAACCACUAAGAUCAUCAAGUCCAACCACCAACCUAUCAUCCAUGCCCACUAAAUCAUGUCCCUAAAGAAGGGUCAGCACACAUCCCUGGAGUCAUAGCAGAGCUGGGCUAAAGUUUGGUCUUAGCACCUUCUACACUAAAGGAGAUCAGCCUCAACCAGAUCCUCAGGUUAUAUUCUGGACCAUAAAUGCACUGGAAGGAAUGUUCCUAGUCUUUACCAAAGACACCAAUCACAGCAGCCUGGAGUGGUGGAUUCUGGAUUAUACUCAUUCUCACUGGAGAGCAUUAAUAAAGGGAAAUACAGGAAAUCUAAAUCAUAUCUUCCAGCUCCCCAGUAGAUUAGACUGCUCUGAAUGCUUGUGUUGGGACUCUGGAGAUCCUGGUCCCAAAGCCCAAUGCAUUUAGAAUCUAUUUAGCACCUUUAUCCUGUUGCUGAAUCAGCAUCUUACAGUAGGAUGAAGGAGAAGCAGGUGCUCUCCUCUAUCCAGGCUUUUUGUCUCCUACCUUUUUACAGGUAGUCCUUCACUGUUUCAACACAGAGCACCCGUCCAUUUUCAUUAUGCUCAAGCAUGAGCUGGUUGGGCUGUGAAGGGUGGGAGACUGAUGAUCAAGGAGUUCCAUGUGGGCACACCUGAUUUACUUAUUUUUUUUCUUUGUUUAAACAGCAUGAUCCAGUAAAAAUAAGGUAAAAUAAUCAUAAGGUAAUAAUAAAAGGAAAAGCUGUACACAAGAUCUUCAAAACAAGGCACUCCUGAAACAAGUAGUUCUUCUCCUGUAUCUUGCUGCUGGUAAAAGGUGAUGGAUUUUUUUCCCCUGAAUAAAUAGCAGUGGUAGGUCUCAGAAUAACAUGCCAAGACACUGGUUUAUCUAGGAGAUUUCUCAUUCAUUCCCAGGUCCAGAAUACAUGGUGUGCUUCAACCAGCAGGCAGGCUUGUACUGUCAAUCCUCCCUGUGGUUUUGGUGGCUGAGGAAGCUGGAAAUCGGGAUUACUAGAUAUUCUCCCUGCCCGGCUCCAAUUUUUCUUCCUCUUUUUCUACAUCAAUCACUUCCUUUGAACAAACAUCAUUAACAACCAGAGAUAUGAACCCUUCUAAGGACCUCAGAGCUGGCCAGACAGAUCAGGGACAGGGACUUCAGUGUUGCCUGGAGUGCUUGUACAAAGGAGAAGACCUCAUCUGUACAUAAUGGGUCUAGACUUCAACAUCAAUAAGAGAAUGAUUUUCUUUCUUCUAGGGCAUCUUGCUGAAUACAACAUAGCCAAAGCCUUUGAAGGAGUUGGCCUUGCAUGGCAUGUCAUCAGAUGGUGCUUUUAAUGAGUCAAGCCUCACUCUCCAGAGAUGGCUGGGAUGGGUUCUCCGUGUUCCUAGAGUCAUCAUCUAUGAUUGUGGAAUAAAGAGAAAGAUUUUUCAUGGAUGCAUCUUUCAUGUCCUAGGAAGAGAGUUUUCUCUCAGAACAGCAGACUGCUCUGGAUUGCACACAAAAUCUGAGAAAAUUUCUCAAGUUGGCAAGACCUCCUUUCUUCCUGGAGCCCUCAUUCCUCUUACUUCAAAGCCAGCCCUGCAACGUUAGAUGCAUCAAGAAGAGAACGUAAUUGGAGCUGCAGUUAGCAACAUGGCAGUCCCCAGAUGCAGGGCAUAUUUGCUGUGGAGAUGGCAUUUAAGGCAGGUUUUCAUUAUGUGGAAAGUGUGUAUCCAAGCCAUCCUGCAGGGUGGCGUGGUGCCUGUAUUUACAGUGCUGGCAGCUUUCAAUAGCAAUCUAUUUUUAAUGAAACCAAGCUGGAAUGUGGUGCCUGAACCCUUGAUUUAAGGCAGAUUUCUAAAGGGAAGAUUUACGCAAAUUUGCUUGAUUGGAACUUAAUUAUUGCAACAGUCAAGUUCAGCUCAAAUGAUCUUGCAGAGACAGCCACAGGAGUCAGAUAAUUCAUGUCAGAGAGAAGACAUCAAUUUGCAUUCCUUACAUUUCCAUUUGGAAGGUUUCCUAAUUCUGGAGUAAGCAGGAGGCAUUGCAAAGAAAGCGAAGGGCCAGCGGGACUGGUAGUGGGUUGAUCUGUUCCCCAAAGUCCUCCUGUGAAAGGCAUUGUGUAUGAGUUAUGGCAAAUCCAGUGUCACCAGGAAGGCAAAACACUGUAGACUCGUGCAUCCCAGCACUGCUGAAUGCUGCUGUGAAGCCAAAGGGAUGUUUGGGGGCCCAGGUGUGAAAGCUUCUCCACUGCCUCAUGGGCUCCAAGUCUGGUUUCCCUGCCUUCAGCACCGUGUUGCACUUCAGAAAACAGAACAAAGAUAGGAAGGGUGCUCCAAAUACCUGGACGCUGAAAGCUACCUUUCUCUUUGAAGCUGGUUUGUUUUUCCAGCCUUUUCCAAUUUGCAAAUUGGUCAGCACGAUAGGAAUUUCUCUGAUCCUUUCCUUAGCCAAAGGGGGAAGAAGGAC
Molecule: long non-coding RNA, 4593 nt
Organism: Gallus gallus (chicken)
Lineage: Eukaryota; Metazoa; Chordata; Aves; Galliformes; Phasianidae
Source: Ensembl